Molecule: long non-coding RNA, 430 nt
Filed under: Vitis vinifera (wine grape)
Lineage: Eukaryota; Viridiplantae; Streptophyta; Magnoliopsida; Vitales; Vitaceae
Description: long non-coding RNA (VVIN_LNC004861)
Source: RNAcentral
ACAGAAGCAGCAUCCUCAUAAACUCUCUGGUCUGGCACAUUCAGGUCGAUGUCCAAAGGGUGGCGACCUUGUUUGCUAGCAGGAUUAUCUAUGAGAGGCACAUCAGUUGUAUUGAGUGGCAUCUCUAGAACCUUUCUAGGUUCAGCAGGCCGGAAAGCACUGGUAGCAGCUGAUCCUUUCCAUCCAAGCUCACCCUUAGUUCUCAAUAGGUUUUCAGGAGGAACAAAUGACCCUUUUGCUGCAGCAGUCACAGUAAUAGAAGCAGGGAAGCUCCCUGACACAGCAGAAAUAGGCACAGGAACAGGGCAGGGCACAUGAACAGCAGAUGAAUAUCCUGGAACCGAUGACUUAACAAGCUCUCCUUGACUCCCAUCAUCAGAAGGGAACCCCUCAUUCAAAUCAAAGUCUAACUUUACAGCCAUAUCUGAAC